RNAcentral lists this long non-coding RNA (422 nucleotides) under Homo sapiens (human). RNAcentral's name for it is "non-protein coding lnc-PTTG2-1:1". Lineage: Eukaryota; Metazoa; Chordata; Mammalia; Primates; Hominidae. The record is from RNAcentral.
GGAUGUAAGUUUCCCGAGGGCAGGGGUUUUGGUUUGUUUUGCUCACAGAUGUGUUGCCACAGACUAGACAGUACCUGGCCCCCAGUAGGUGCUCAAUCUGAGGCACAAGAAUCGCUUCAGCCCAGGAGGUGAAGGUUGCGGUGAGCCGAGAUCACGCCACUGCACUCCAGCUUGGGUGACACAGUGAGAUUCCGUGUCAAAAAAAUACCCAUUUAUGUACUUACGUACAAAAUAUCUGAAACUGCUAAGACUGGGUAGUAAUUACAUGGGUGUCUCUUAUAUUAUGCUAUUUAAAUGUUUUAAAAACAUUUAAUAAUUUUUAAGAUCCUAAGAAACAAGAAUACUGUAAUAAAAAAAUCCAAUAUCGGACUCUACUCCCUUGUAGAUUAGGAAUGAUAUCCCUGCUCUUUUUCCCCCCAAUG